UGAAAGUCACAAAACAUGCACUCUUAAUGGAUUCUCUUGAAAACCUAAAACCAAAUAAACCUAAGUCUUAUAAGUCUCUUUAUUUGGUUUUAUGUUUUCAAGAGAAUCCAUUAAGAGUGCUUACUUUGUGACUUUC
Non-coding RNA from Podarcis lilfordi (Lilford's wall lizard), 136 nucleotides. NCBI's taxonomy places the organism in Eukaryota, Metazoa, Chordata, Lepidosauria, Squamata, Lacertidae. The record is from the annotation of a GenBank genome assembly.